This 487-nucleotide ribosomal RNA is filed under the name uncultured bacterium. RNAcentral's name for it is "bacterial SSU rRNA". It matches the Rfam family "Bacterial small subunit ribosomal RNA", at positions 28 to 507 of the family's 1533-position model. The record is from RNAcentral.
GAUGAACGCUAGCUACAGGCUUAACACAUGCAAGUCGAGGGGCAGCACAGUGUAGCAAUACAUGGGUGGCGACCGGCGCACGGGUGCGUAACGCGUAUCCAACCUUCCCGUUACUCAGGGAUAGCCUUCCGAAAGGGAGAUUAAUACCUGAUGGUGUUGAAAUUCCGCAUGUUAUUUCAACUAAAGAUUUAUCGGUAACGGAUGGGGAUGCGUGACAUUAGAUAGUAGGCGGGGUAACGGCCCACCUAGUCUACGAUGUCUAGGGGUUCUGAGAGGAAGGUCCCCCACACUGGAACUGAGACACGGUCCAGACUCCUACGGGAGGCAGCAGUGAGGAAUAUUGGUCAAUGGUCGGAAGACUGAACCAGCCAAGUAGCGUGAAGGAUGAAGGUUCUAUGGAUUGUAAACUUCUUUUAUACGGGAAUAAAAACCUCCCACGUGUGGGAGCUUGUAUGUACCGUAUGAAUAAGCAUCGGCUAACUCCGUG